AGUGAACGCUGGCGGUAGGCCUAACACAUGCAAGUCGAACGGCAGCACAGUAAGAGCUUGCUCUUACGGGUGGCGAGUGGCGGACGGGUGAGGAAUACAUCGGAAUCUACCUUUUCGUGGGGGAUAACGUAGGGAAACUUACGCUAAUACCGCAUACGACCUACGGGUGAAAGCAGGGGAUCUUCGGACCUUGCGCGAUUGAAUGAGCCGAUGUCGGAUUAGCUAGUUGGCGGGGUAAAGGCCCACCAAGGCGACGAUCCGUAGCUGGUCUGAGAGGAUGAUCAGCCACACUGGAACUGAGACACGGUCCAGACUCCUACGGGAGGCAGCAGUGGGGAAUAUUGGACAAUGGGCGCAAGCCUGAUCCAGCCAUACCGCGUGGGUGAAGAAGGCCUUCGGGUUGUAAAGCCCUUUUGUUGGGAAAGAAAAGCAGCAGGUUAAUACCCCGCUGUUCUGACGGUACCCAAGAAUAAGCACCGGCUAACUUCGUG
Molecule: ribosomal RNA, 491 nt
Filed under: uncultured bacterium
Lineage: Bacteria
Description: partial 16S ribosomal RNA
Rfam family: Bacterial small subunit ribosomal RNA
Source: RNAcentral